CAGCACGAAUAAGUGGAGAUAAUAUACAAAAUUAUUCACUGAUAAUAUAAACCUACUAACUAUUACGGAACUGCUUGUUUCUCGGUUGGCCGCGCCGGCUCGCUCAUCGGUUUCCCUGGGUGUAGUCCCAUCCCUGGCCCGCAGUCCGCACAAUCGAUAACAACAAAGCUACAACUUCUGUACACAACACUAUGCAAAACGAACCAUAAAUCGAUAACAUCUAACAUCUAACACUUCUAAUAAAUGAACAUCGUAAAAAGCUUUGACGACAAGAAAUGUAAACCAACAAAGCAGUUAUUUACGAUCUCCUGCAUGCAGAACUUUCGUUAACUUCACAGGUAUCUCUGCAGGUUAUCUAACUGCAGCCAUUUACGUUCUUAUGCACGUGGACGUUUCUUCACCAGAAUAAAUACUGUCAAAAAUCGAAAACACUGUCAAAGUUACUGUUGGAUUCUGCAGCAGCCGCAGCAAAUCAGCAUAAGCAAACAUUCAUGUAAACAUAAGAAGAGGUCGAAAUCUUAGUCUAGCGAAACAGCUGUUUAUUAUGAACAAAGUUGGCAGGCCUCUCUUGCUCUUGUCGCAGCUUCUAUAAACUGGCAUAUUCCCUUUAUCAGCUCAGUUCGUUGUUGAUCGAGGCGAAGCGAUGAACUAUUUCUGAGCCAUAGCCAAAUAACCUUGAAAUUUAUAUAAAUUCGAUCAAAUAAACUUAAUCAUAGCGU
This is a long non-coding RNA of Drosophila novamexicana, 719 nucleotides long. RefSeq lists it as uncharacterized. NCBI's taxonomy places the organism in Eukaryota, Metazoa, Arthropoda, Insecta, Diptera, Drosophilidae. The record is from RefSeq and is a predicted model, not a curated record. The transcript is spliced from 4 exons.